This 514-nucleotide ribosomal RNA is filed under the name Parnara apostata. RNAcentral's name for it is "partial 16S ribosomal RNA". The stretch from base 387 to 514 matches the Rfam family "Bacterial large subunit ribosomal RNA", at positions 2473 to 2600 of the family's 2925-position model. Lineage: Eukaryota; Metazoa; Arthropoda; Insecta; Lepidoptera; Hesperiidae. The record is from RNAcentral.
GUCUUUUUGAUUUUAAUUUAAAGUCAAAUCUGCCCACUGAUUAAUAUUAAAGGGCUGCAGUAUAUUGACUGUACAAAGGUAGCAUAAUAAAUAGUCUUUUAAUUGAAGACUUGUAUGAAAGAUUUGAUGAGAUAUAAACUGUCUCUUUUUUAUAUUUAGAAUUUAAUUUUUUAGUAAAAAAGCUAAAAUUAUUUUAAAAGACGAGAAGACCCUAUAGAGUUUUAUAGUUAAUUUAUUUAUAAAUUUAUAUGUAAAAUUUAAAAUUUAAUUAAUUUAAUUAUUUUGUUGGGGUGAUAGAAAAAUAUAUUAAACUUUUUUUUAAAAAUUACAUUAAUUAAUGAGUAUAUGAUCCAUAAAUUAUGAUUAAAAGAAAAAAUUACCUUAGGGAUAACAGCGUAAUUUUUUUUUUUAGUUCUUAUAGGAAAAAGAGUUUGCGACCUCGAUGUUGGAUUAAGAUAAAAUUUAAAUGUAGAAGUUUAAAAUUUUUGAUCUGUUCGAUCAUUAAAAUCUUACA